This 1384-nucleotide ribosomal RNA is filed under the name metagenome. Its description in RNAcentral is "bacterial LSU rRNA". It matches the Rfam family "Bacterial large subunit ribosomal RNA", at positions 1533 to 2925 of the family's 2925-position model. The record is from RNAcentral.
UUUCAAGCAGAAGACGGCAUACGAGAUGUGACUGGAGUUCAGACGUGUGCUCUUCCGAUCUCUCCACCCAGACUCAUCCAUUGCUUCACAAAUAGAGAGUUUCUGUUGGUGCUGACAUCGCUCAGGUGGGCGGGUAGAGAAUACCGAGGCGUUUGAGAGAACCGUGGUUAAGGAACUCGGCAAAUUGACACCGUAACUUCGGGAUAAGGUGUGCCACUGAGGGUGAAGAGCCUUGCGCUCGUAAGCCUUCGGGGGUUGCAACAAAGAGGCGGUAGCGACUGUUUACCAAAAACACAGGCCUGUGCGAAGCCGUAAGGCGACGUAUACGGGUUGACGCCUGCCCGGUGCCGGAAGGUUAAGGGGAGUGGUCAGCGAAAGCGAAGCUGCGAACCGAAGCCCCGGUAAACGGCGGCCGUAACAAUAACGGUCCUAAGGUAGCGAAAUUCCUUGUCGGGUAAGUUCCGACCUGCACGAAUGGCGUAACGACUUCCGCGCUGUCUCGAUCACGGUCUCAGCGAAAUUGACAUUGGGGUGAAGAUGCCCCAUACCCGCAGCAAGACGGAAAGACCCUGUGAACCUUUACUCUAACUUGGCAGCGACAUUCGGUUCAGCUUGUGUAGGAUAGGUGGGAGACGAUGAAGCGGGGGCGCCAGCCUUCGUGGAGUCAACGUUGAAAUACCACCCUGGUUGUGCUGGAUGUCUAACCCGGCCCUUGUGGCGGGGACACUGCCUGGCGGGGAGUUUGACUGGGGCGGUCGCCUCCCAAACAGUAACGGAGGCGCGCAAAGAUUCCCUCAGCGUGAUCGGAAACCACGCGCAGAGUGCAAAGGCAGAAGGGAGUUUGACUGCAAGAUCGACAGAUCGAGCAGGUGCGAAAGCAGGCCUUAGUGAUCCGGCGGUCCCACAUGGGAGGGCCGUCGCUCAUCGGAUAAAAGGUACUCCGGGGAUAACAGGCUUAUCACGCCCAAGAGUUCACAUCGACGGCGUGGUUUGGCACCUCGAUGUCGGCUCAUCGCAUCCUGGGGCUGGAGCAGGUCCCAAGGGUUUGGCUGUUCGCCAAUUAAAGCGGUACGCGAGCUGGGUUCAAAACGUCGUGAGACAGUUUGGUCCCUAUCUGCUGUGGGCGCAGGAGAGUUGAGAGACGCUGUCCUUAGUACGAGAGGACCGGGAUGGACGUUCCUCUGGUGUUCCGGUUGUCGCGCCAGCGGCAUAGCCGGAUAACCAUGAACGGAAGGGAUAACCGCUGAAAGCAUCUAAGUGGGAAGCCCAUCUCCAGAUAAACUCUCCCUUGAGGGCCCAGAAAGACAUCUGGUUGAUAGGCGGGGCGUAUAAACGCAGCAAUGCGUGCGCGGACCCGUACUAAUCGCCCGAACGACUUGACCCU